RNAcentral lists this ribosomal RNA (254 nucleotides) under uncultured bacterium. Its description in RNAcentral is "partial 16S ribosomal RNA". It matches the Rfam family "Bacterial small subunit ribosomal RNA", at positions 524 to 776 of the family's 1533-position model. The record is from RNAcentral.
UACGGGGGGAGCAAGCGUUGUUCGGAUUUACUGGGCGUAAAGGGCGCGUAGGCGGUCAGCACAAGUCAGUUGUGAAAUCUCCGGGCUUAACUCGGAAAGGUCAACUGAUACUGUGCGACUAGAGUGCAGAAGGGGCAACUGGAAUUCUCGGUGUAGCGGUGAAAUGCGUAGAUAUCUGGAGGAACACCGGUGGCGAAGGCGGCAUCCUGGACCGGCAUUGACGCUGAGGAGCGAAAGCCAGGGGAGCAAACGGG